ACUCAAAGGAAUUGACGGGGGCCCGCACAAGCGGCGGAGCAUGCGGCUUAAUUCGAUGCAACGCGAAGAACCUUACCAAGGCUUGACAUACGCCGAAAACCUGCAGAGAUGUGGGGUCCUUCGGGGCGGUGUACAGGUGGUGCAUGGUUGUCGUCAGCUCGUGUCGUGAGAUGUUGGGUUAAGUCCCGCAACGAGCGCAACCCUCGUUCCAUGUUGCCAGCACUUCGGGUGGGGACUCAUGGGAGACUGCCGGGGUCAACUCGGAGGAAGGUGGGGAUGACGUCAAAUCAUCAUGCCCCUUAUGUCUUGGGCUGCACGCAUGCUACAAUGGCCGGUACAGAGGGUUGCGAUGCCGUAAGGUUGAGCGAAUCCCAAAAAGCCGGUCUCAGUUCGGAUCGGGGUCUGCAACUCGACCCCGUGAAGUCGGAGUCGCUAGUAAUCGCAGAUCAGCAACGCUGCGGUGAAUACGUUCCCGGGCCUUGUACACACCGCCCGU
Molecule: ribosomal RNA, 496 nt
Filed under: uncultured bacterium
Lineage: Bacteria
Description: partial 16S ribosomal RNA
Rfam family: Bacterial small subunit ribosomal RNA
Source: RNAcentral